This 72-nucleotide transfer RNA is filed under the name Camelus ferus (Wild Bactrian camel). It matches the Rfam family "tRNA". From Rfam's summary of the family: Transfer RNA (tRNA) molecules are approximately 80 nucleotides in length. Their secondary structure includes four short double-helical elements and three loops (D, anti-codon, and T loops). Further hydrogen bonds mediate the characteristic L-shaped molecular structure. tRNAs have two regions of fundamental functional importance: the anti-codon, which is responsible for specific mRNA codon recognition, and the 3' end, to which the tRNAs corresponding amino acid is attached (by aminoacyl-tRNA synthetases). tRNAs cope with the degeneracy of the genetic code in two manners: having more than one tRNA (with a specific anti-codon) for a particular amino acid; and 'wobble' base-pairing, i.e. permitting non-standard base-pairing at the 3rd anti-codon position. The record is from Rfam by way of RNAcentral. Lineage: Eukaryota; Metazoa; Chordata; Mammalia; Artiodactyla; Camelidae.
GAGUGUAUAGCUCAGUGAUACAGUGCAUGCCUAGCAUGCACAAGGCCCUGGGUUCAAUCCCCAGUACCUCCA